AGAGGAAAGUACAUUUGUUGUUUUGUACAGGAUCCAUUUUGAGACGACAGCAGAAACCACUAUUUGGAGAGUAAAACAUAAAGGUCCAGCAGAAGAGACCAGACUCAACUGGACCCAGCUGUGUGUCCAUGAAGAGUGACCGGUCUAUGGAGCUACCACUCAAAUUCAGAAAAGGAGAUUGUACCACUGAUCCAGGGGUCCAGCAGAAGAGACCAGACUCACCUGGACCCAGCUGUGUGUCCAUGAAGAGUGACCGGUCUAUGGAGCAGCCACUCAAAUUCAGAAAAGUAGAUUGUACCACUGAUCCAGGGUAAGAACUGAAA
Long non-coding RNA from Salvelinus namaycush (lake trout), 323 nucleotides. RefSeq lists it as uncharacterized. The transcript is spliced from 3 exons. Lineage: Eukaryota; Metazoa; Chordata; Actinopteri; Salmoniformes; Salmonidae. The record is from RefSeq and is a predicted model, not a curated record.